Molecule: ribosomal RNA, 186 nt
Filed under: Cirrhinus molitorella (mud carp)
Lineage: Eukaryota; Metazoa; Chordata; Actinopteri; Cypriniformes; Cyprinidae
Description: partial small subunit ribosomal RNA
Source: RNAcentral
ACGAGAGGCCCCAGUUGAUAAUACAACGGCGUAAAGGGUGGUUAAGGACUUUUAAAAAUAAAGCCAAAUGGCCCUUUGGCCGUCAUACGCUUCUAGGUGUCCGAAGCCCCAACACGAAAGUAGCUUUAAACCCCACCUGACCCCACGAAAACUGAGAAACAAACUGGGAUUAGAUACCCCACUAUG